This 460-nucleotide ribosomal RNA is filed under the name uncultured bacterium. RNAcentral's name for it is "partial 16S ribosomal RNA". It matches the Rfam family "Bacterial small subunit ribosomal RNA", at positions 338 to 795 of the family's 1533-position model. The record is from RNAcentral.
CCUACGGGAGGCAGCAGUGAGGAAUAUUGGUCAAUGGGCGCGAGCCUGAACCAGCCAAGUAGCGUGAAGGAUGACUGCCCUACGGGUUGUAAACUUCUUUUAUAAAGGAAUAAAGUGAUGCACGUGUGCCUUUUUGUAUGUACUUUAUGAAUAAGGAUCGGCUGACUCCGUGCCAGCAGCCGCGGUAAUACGGAGGAUCCGAGCGUUAUCCGGAUUUAUUGGGUUUAAAGGGAGAGUAGGUGGGUUGUUAAGUCAGUUGGGAAAGUUUGGGGCUCAACCGUAAAAUUGCAAUUGAUACUGGCAGUCUUGAGUGCAGUAGAGGUAGGCGGAAUUCGUGGUGUAGCGGUGAAAUGCUUAGAUAUCACGAAGAACUCCGAUUGCGAAGGCAGCUUACUAGACUGCCACUGACACUGAUGCUCGAAAGUGUGGGUAUCAAACAGGAUUAGAUACCCGAGUAGUC